This 253-nucleotide ribosomal RNA is filed under the name uncultured bacterium. RNAcentral describes it as "partial 16S ribosomal RNA". It matches the Rfam family "Bacterial small subunit ribosomal RNA", at positions 524 to 776 of the family's 1533-position model. The record is from RNAcentral.
UACGUAGGGGGCUAGCGUUGUCCGGAAUCAUUGGGCGUAAAGCGCGUGUAGGCGGUCCGGUAAGUCCGCUGUGAAAGUCGGGGGCUCAACCCUCGGAUGCCGGUGGAUACUGUCGGGCUUGAGUACGGAAGAGGCGAGUGGAAUUCCUGGUGUAGCGGUGAAAUGCGCAGAUAUCAGGAGGAACACCAAUUGUGAAGGCAGCUCGCUGGGACGUUACUGACGCUGAGACGCGAAAGCGUGGGGAGCAAACAGG